GAUGAAGAACGUAGCGAAAUGCGAUAAGUAAUGUGAAUUGCAGAAUUCAGUGAAUCAUCGAAUCUUUGAACGCACAUUGCGCCCGCCAGUAUUCUGGCGGGCAUGCCUGUUCGAGCGUCAUUUCAACCAUCAAGCCCCCGGCUUGUGUUGGGGACCUGCGGCUGCCGCGGGCCCUGAAAAGCAGUGGCGGGCUCGCUGUCACACCGAGCGUAGUAGCAUACAUCUCGCUCUGGGCGUGCUGCGGGUUCCGGCCGUUAAACCACCUUCAUAACCCAAGGUUGACCUCGGAUCAGGUAGGAAGACCCGCUGAACUUAAGCAUAUCAAUAAGCGGAGGA
RNAcentral lists this unclassified non-coding RNA (336 nucleotides) under soil metagenome. Its description in RNAcentral is "partial contains 5.8S ribosomal RNA, internal transcribed spacer 2, and large subunit ribosomal RNA". The stretch from base 1 to 120 matches the Rfam family "5.8S ribosomal RNA", at positions 35 to 154 of the family's 154-position model. The record is from RNAcentral.